GAAUUUUAUAUAAAUUUAUUAUUUGAUUUAUUAUAUAAUAUAUUAUUAAAUUUAUAUUUUAUUGGGAGGAUAAUUAAAUUAUAUAAACUUUAAUAUUAUAAAAUCAUUAAUUUAUGAAUUAAGUGUUUAAGGAAUGGUUAAAUUAAUUUAAAUAGAAUUAAUUACCUUAGGGAUAACAGCGUAAUAUUUUUAGAGAGAUCUUAUUAAUAAAAAUGAUUGC
Molecule: ribosomal RNA, 220 nt
Filed under: Pheidole nr. fimbriata sp. D GR-2021
Lineage: Eukaryota; Metazoa; Arthropoda; Insecta; Hymenoptera; Formicidae
Description: partial large subunit ribosomal RNA
Source: RNAcentral